AUCCUGGCUCAGGAUGAACGCUAGCGGCAGGCUUAAUACAUGCAAGACGAACGGUAAGUUUGGUAGCAAUACUGAACCUAGAGUGUCGUACGGGUGCGUAACACGUAUGCAACCUACCUUGUACAGGAGUAUAGCUCGGUGAAAACCGAAUUAACCCUCCAUAAUAUCAUUUGGUGGCAUCAUCGAAUGAUUAAAACUGAGGUGGUACAAGAUGGGCAUGCGUUUGAUUAGUUAGUUGGCAGUGUAACGGACUACCAAGACGAUGAUCAAUAGGGGACCUGAGAGGGUGAUCCCCCACACUGGCACUGAGAUGCGGGCCAGACUCCUACGGGAGGCAGCAGUAGGGAAUAUUGGACAAUGGGUGAGAGCCUGAUCCAGCCAUGCCGCGUGCAGGAAGAAGGCGUUAUGCGUUGUAAACUGCUUUUGCCAGGGGAUAAAACGGUUCUGCGGAACUAAUUGAAGGUACCUGGUGAAUAAGCCACGGCUAACUACGUG
This 495-nucleotide ribosomal RNA is filed under the name uncultured Sphingobacteriales bacterium. RNAcentral's name for it is "bacterial SSU rRNA". It matches the Rfam family "Bacterial small subunit ribosomal RNA", at positions 16 to 507 of the family's 1533-position model. Lineage: Bacteria; Pseudomonadati; Bacteroidota; Sphingobacteriia; Sphingobacteriales. The record is from RNAcentral.